This is a long non-coding RNA of Pezoporus occidentalis (night parrot), 3732 nucleotides long. RefSeq lists it as uncharacterized. Lineage: Eukaryota; Metazoa; Chordata; Aves; Psittaciformes; Psittacidae. The record is from RefSeq and is a predicted model, not a curated record. The transcript is spliced from 3 exons.
AUGUUUUUUUUUUUUUUUGAAUGUUUUGCAUUUGAAAAUAUUUUGCGUUGGUUUUAUUACCACAGUUAAUUUUGUUCAUUAGAAACUCUUGUCAUUCAUGCUUUAUUAGCUAAAACCAUGUUGGUACACAAGGGUUGGUCCAGUGCUUCUGAGGCAAGAACCUAAGAGAGACUUUGGAAAAGUUGUAAAGCUUUUAAGUGUACACACAGCAAACCUGCUUGUUCCGUGACUUACUGCCUUAAUUGCAUACAAGAUUCACGACUGGGACAGGACAAGAAAAUAGCCAGUACUUUGCAUGUAUCUUAGUCACUUGUAUAAGCAGCUAGGUUUUUACAGUAGUACAGUCUCCAGGCAAGUGCAAUUGUGUGUGCUUUAACUUUUCUCAGAAAUGUUUCAUUGUUGACCGAGUGAUAUGACAUACAAAGUGACAUGUUAACCUAUCUAAAACUAGUGCCGUGCUCAAGAGGCAACCACAUCAUCAGUCGACUGCUGAUUUCUUUUACCACAGUGUCAUCAGUAACUGAGACAUUCACAUUUGAAAUCAGAGGAGCCUCAAAUAGGUAUGCUUGUCCAUUACUCUUUAUUUAGGUUUCAGUUAUCCACAACAAUGUUACUGAAUAAUUGUAAUUUCAUCCAUGAUUUUAGUUAUCUGACCUUUAUUAAAAUGCAUUUUUCCAUGUGUGCAGGGGUCCACUGAGAACGUGGGACAUGACGCUGGCAUUGCAUGGUGUGUUCAAACCCCUCACUAACAUGGUGAAUAGGUGAGCAAGUUGGGGUUUUGAAUGCAGUUCUGUGGCACAGAAGAAUUUAUGAAGCUAGGUCAGGAGAAAAUAAAGUGUUGAUGAAGCUGGCAAACUCAAGUACAUUCUUCAAAAUGCCAUUUUUCUCUGGCAAUAUAAUGUUAGUUUGGAGUACAGCAAUAAUUGAAUUCCUGGGACUGAUUUGAUACAGGCUUUGUUACAGUCUCAUGAUAUCUAUGUGAAGAUGUUGAAUAACACUGAGUAUAUAAAAUGCUGGACAAAUGAUCAGGCAAGUAUGCAGUCAUAAUUGUAUAAUGCUAAGAAAUGACAGCUGCCUAAGAAGAGAUUAAAAAAUAAGAAUGGAGUUUUAUGGGACAGACAUCCUAGGUCACACUGUGUUAUUCUAGGGAAUAUUUACCUACCAGGAGUUGUUGAAUGGCCUCUGUAAGGGUAUUGUUUUGUUUCAGUGUCUAAACACUACAUUACUGGUGAUGUGUCUGGGUUUGGUUUUCAUUGACAGUGUAGUAUUGAGGUAGUUUCAUGUUAUUGAGGGUUUCUUACAAUCUGUGGGAUAUCCAUACUGGUGACUUGCCCAAAGUCAUGUUGGUAGGUGAACUUGGGCCUUUAGAGUAAGACUAAAUUCAGAUGCUGACUUGGUGGUUUUAGAUGGGUGGCCAAAGUUUUUACUUGUUGUAGAAAAUAGUGACUUUCCUUUGGAAAGGAACAGUGGUUAUGUUAAUGUAUACUUUUUUUUUUCUUCUUGUUUUUAAAGGUGUGGUACUGGACUUCCUGUUGAAGGGUGGAGAUGAAGGCAGGUACUUCCUGCUUUCCAGGCAUUUGGGUGUCAUGUUUUCCUGUUGCUGUUAUUGGUUUUGGCCUUACAGAGUAUACUUCUUGUUCUAUGCUGCUAGGUUUAGGUUGGCUGCACACUAACUGUAAGGAACUGGAAAUAUCAGAGAUAAUGGGGCAAGAACACAAAACUUGCCUGCUUCAUUGGUGGCUUUAAUGUUUGGUUUCUGUCUUGGUUUUGUACUCUUGCCUUAUGAUGCUAGCUUUCAGAGAUUGCUGUUGUAGGGAAUUAAGUUCAUGGAGUAGCACUGAGAGAGUCAAGCAUCAGGAUGUCAAGGUUCUUGCCAGGUGAAAUGGUAUGGGUUUUCUGAGUUGUGGCUGUUGUGAAGAGUUAAAAUAACACAGGAAGAGGAGUAUGUUCAGAAAUCUGAUUUAAAGUAUUAUUGGCAGGGCAUAGCUAAAGGAAAGUGUCACUGAGCCAUGUCCAGUUAGAUUCUUGGGUACAUCCAGUUCUCUAAUGCUUCUUCUGUUGUGAAUAUCCAACUUUAACAUUUAGAAUAUUAACCAGUCUAGAUGCAAAUGAUUUUUCUGGUUUGCAUGUAACAAGUGUCAAAGCAGAUAAUAAAUGAUUCAUUGGUUUUCCUUUAAUGUUUAUUAUUUACUCUGACAUUAAGAUUGGAGAAUGAUGAAUCAAAGUACUUGAACAGGAUUUUUUGAGGAAACUUUGAAGAAUUUGGGAUUCUUCUGCAAUAUUUGAGUGAUAGCAGUUCAUUUGUUUCCUUUGCCUAUUCUUUUAUUGAUGAGACAGUUUCUCAUGGUAGAACUGACUGUCCUAGGACUUGAUUCUGGGAAGUAUCUAAGAACAGAAAUGGAAUACAAAUACAAAAUAAAUACUUGAAAGUGUCACAGCAGUCUGGCGAGGAAAACUGAAGCCUGUAGGAUGAGUUGUUGUCAGUCAGGAGUAACUGAUAAGUUGGGAAGACCUGACUUUGAAGGCAGGCUUCAGCUCCAGUUCCUGUCUCUCCUAAAAUGGUAGUGGCAACUCCUUUCAUAAUGAUCUUUUGCUGAAUGGCUUUCCUCAGAAUCCUGGGAUCUGGCAUGAGUCUGCAUUGCAGAAUUUCUCUUUAUCUGAAGUAACCUGUUGUCUGAAAAGUUGCAUGGUUACUGUUCAGACAAAGCACUUGUAAAGUGUUAAUUCCUUCCCUCAAAAAGAAACUGAACAACCAUGAGGAAGAGUCUAGCAAGCUGUUAAUGCUGAAGACUUAGCAUGACACCAUGUGAGGUGAGCAGCUGAGGACUUUCUUAGCAAGCAGGAAAGAAAAUCUUAAAUUACAUUUCAAAGAAAGAGGGGGAAAAAAAAAAAACAAACCAAACCCACAUGAUUAAAGUAACCUGCUUAGUAGGACAGUUUCCUGUGCUCUACCAACAAGUUCAUUUUUGAUGCUUUGAGUAGUCUGCAUUUUCAGACUCUCCAAGUUGGCCAAAGUAUAAAAUAACAAUUCUUAAUUGAACCAAAAGGUUCUGCAGGUACUGCUUUUGGUCUUUAGUGUUCAUAGGUAGUUUUUACUUCAAAAAAAAAAACCCCAAACCAACAACCAACCAAACACACCUCCCCACCCCAAACCACAGCCUGUGAUUAUUUCGCUAAUGUAACUUGAAAGCGCAUGUGUAAUCUGGCUCUUCCUUACAGAAAAUUAAGAUUGAGUGGUUAGUGUGACAGUUAGUUUAAUGCUAAGUGUUGAUCUGUGUUUCACGAUAGUAAAAUCUCUGUAUAUAUGUCAUAAAAAUAUGUUGGUCUGAUUAUAGGUAUUGCACAUACAAAACCACUAAUGGAAUUAUUGUAAUAUUUUCCAUUAUUUUAAAGUCAGAAUAUUCUGUGAGGGGAAUGUACUUGCCUAGACAGACACUGUGAAACAAUGCAAACGUAUUUCCUAUUUAGAUAUUUGAAUGGCAUAUUGUAACUUGUCAUUAUGUUACUUUCCAGGGUGAGCAGCAAGAAGAAAAUCAAGCUCUUGUAUAAGACUACUGGGGCAGUUUUGGGCCAUUUUGAUUUUGCUGUGAGGGUAUUGUGAACUGUAAAGGAUUACUGUAAGUUGUAGUAUGAAAUCCCAUGUUACUUGUUGAAUAGCACAUUAAACUUAAUUACCUAAAGUUUUAUUGUGUUAUGCUAGCAUUAAUAAAGUGUGUGGAGUGGAUUAUUUCA